CUGAUUCUCACGUGCCACCGGCACUGGCUUCAGCUUCUCCACCCGCCAUACGUGCAGGCCGGGAUCCUGCACCGAGGCUGGGAACGGAGAGCCGCUGCAGGAGGGAAGAGGGUUGGCAAAAGUCUGAACUCCACUCACC
This is a long non-coding RNA of Leopardus geoffroyi (Geoffroy's cat), 139 nucleotides long. RefSeq lists it as uncharacterized. The transcript is spliced from 3 exons. The record is from RefSeq and is a predicted model, not a curated record. NCBI's taxonomy places the organism in Eukaryota, Metazoa, Chordata, Mammalia, Carnivora, Felidae.